AGAACGAACGCUGGCGGCAUGCCUAAUACAUGCAAGUCGAACGAACUCUUCGGAGUUAGUGGCGCACGGGUGCGUAACGCGUGGGAAUCUGCCCUUGGGUUCGGAAUAACAGUUGGAAACGACUGCUAAUACCGGAUGAUGACGAAAGUCCAAAGAUUUAUCGCCCAGGGAUGAGCCCGCGUAGGAUUAGCUAGUUGGUGAGGUAAAGGCUCACCAAGGCGACGAUCCUUAGCUGGUCUGAGAGGAUGAUCAGCCACACUGGGACUGAGACACGGCCCAGACUCCUACGGGAGGCAGCAGUAGGGAAUAUUGGACAAUGGGCGAAAGCCUGAUCCAGCAAUGCCGCGUGAGUGAUGAAGGCCUUAGGGUUGUAAAGCUCUUUACCCGAGAUGAUAAUGACAGUAUCGGAGAAUAAGCCCGGCUAACUCCGUGCCAGCAGCCGC
This 443-nucleotide ribosomal RNA is filed under the name uncultured soil bacterium. Its description in RNAcentral is "bacterial SSU rRNA". It matches the Rfam family "Bacterial small subunit ribosomal RNA", at positions 26 to 518 of the family's 1533-position model. The record is from RNAcentral.